ACGAACGCUGGCGGCAUGCCUAACACAUGCAAGUCGAACGAACCCUUCGGGGUUAGUGGCGCACGGGUGUGUAACGCGUGGGAAUCUGCCCUUUGCUUCGGAAUAACUCAGGGAAACUUGUGCUAAUACCGGAUGAUGUCUUCGGACCAAAGAUUUAUCGGCAAGGGAUGAGCCCGCGUAGGAUUAGGUAGUUGGUGGGGUAAAGGCCUACCAAGCCGACGAUCCUUAGCUGGUCUGAGAGGAUGAUCAGCCACACUGGGACUGAGACACGGCCCAGACUCCUACGGGAGGCAGCAGUGGGGAAUAUUGGACAAUGGGCGCAAGCCUGAUCCAGCAAUGCCGCGUGAGUGAUGAAGGCCCUCGGGUCGUAAAGCUCUUUUACCAGGGAUGAUAAUGACAGUACCUGGAGAAUAAGCUCCGGCUAACUCCGUG
Molecule: ribosomal RNA, 432 nt
Filed under: uncultured bacterium
Lineage: Bacteria
Description: partial 16S ribosomal RNA
Rfam family: Bacterial small subunit ribosomal RNA
Source: RNAcentral